RNAcentral lists this microRNA precursor (104 nucleotides) under Marmota monax (woodchuck). The record is from RNAcentral. Lineage: Eukaryota; Metazoa; Chordata; Mammalia; Rodentia; Sciuridae.
AGUGGGAUAGCUGGGUCAAAUGGUGGUUCCAUUCCAAGUUUUGCUAAGGAAUCUCCAUACUGCUUUCUAAAGUUAUUGCACCAUUUUGCAGUCCCACCAGCAAC